CACUCCUACGGGAGGCAGCAGUGGGGAAUAUUGCACAAUGGGCGCAAGCCUGAUGCAGCCAUGCCGCGUGUAUGAAGAAGGCCUUCGGGUUGUAAAGUACUUUCAGCGGGGAGGAAGGCGAUAAGGUUAAUAACCUUGUUGAUUGACGUUACCCGCAGAAGAAGCACCGGCUAACUCCGUGCCAGCAGCCGCGGUAAUACGGAGGGUGCAAGCGUUAAUCGGAAUUACUGGGCGUAAAGUGCACGCAGGCGGUCUGUCAAGUCGGAUGUGAAAUCCCCGGGCUCAACCUGGGAACUGCAUUCGAAACUGGCAGGCUAGAGUCUUGUAGAGGGGGGUAGAAUUCCAGGUGUAGCGGUGAAAUGCGUAGAGAUCUGGAGGAAUACCGGUGGCGAAGGCGGCCCCCUGGACAAAGACUGACGCUCAGGUGCGAAAGCGUGGGGAGCAAACAGGAUUAGAUACCCUAGUAGUCCCAU
Molecule: ribosomal RNA, 473 nt
Filed under: uncultured organism
Description: partial 16S ribosomal RNA
Rfam family: Bacterial small subunit ribosomal RNA
Source: RNAcentral